This 255-nucleotide long non-coding RNA is filed under the name Elaeis guineensis (African oil palm). RNAcentral's name for it is "long non-coding RNA (EGUI_LNC018134)". Lineage: Eukaryota; Viridiplantae; Streptophyta; Magnoliopsida; Arecales; Arecaceae. The record is from RNAcentral.
GCGAUCGAGACUGGUCGAAAAAAUUUUCGACCUUCAAAAGUAGCUGCAGGACGCUGAGACGAACUACAACGCCUACCUAGUCGGCUGGUGCGGGCAAGUAGAGGACUACCGAAGGAAGCUCAAGACGGUGACUGACGAAGUUGCCCGCCUUCAGAGGCAGUUGUCUGAGAGAGUCCAGUCUGUCUCUGCACAAGGCUCCGACGAGCUCCACUCCUUGAGGGGGACCAUGGAAGAACUGUCUGUGGCCCUUGGGCA